ACGGGGUGCAGCAGGCGCGAAACCUCCGCAAUACACGAAAGUGUGACGGGGUUACCCAAAGUGUUCUUAUAGAACUGUGGUAGGUGAGUAAUGUCCCCUACUAGAAAGGAGAGGGCAAGGCUGGUGCCAGCCGCCGCGGUAAAACCAGCUCUUCAAGUGGUCGGGAUAAUUAUUGGGCUUAAAGUGUCCGUAGCCGGUUUAGUAAGUUCCUGGUAAAAUCGGGUAGCUUAACUAUCCGCAUGCUAGGAAUACUGCUAUACUAGAGGGCGGGAGAGGUCUGAGGUACUACAGGGGUAGGGGUGAAAUCUUAUAAUCCUUGUAGGACCACCAGUGGCGAAGGCGUCAGACUGGAACGCGCCUGACGGUGAGGGACGAAAGCCAGGGGAGCGAACCGGAUUAGAUACGCGGUGUUAUUUGAAAGGUUUGACUAAUCAACAUCGGGCUAAAAACCCGGGUAGUCCUGGCCGUAAACGAUGCAUACUAGGUGAUGGCACGGCCAUGAGCCGUGUCAGUGCCGUAGGGAAACCGUUAAGUGUGCCGCCUGGGAAGUACGGUCGCAAGGCUAAAACUUAAAGGAAUUGGCGGGGGAGCACCACAAGGGGUGAAGCCUGCGGUUCAAUUGGACUCA
This 628-nucleotide ribosomal RNA is filed under the name uncultured archaeon. RNAcentral's name for it is "bacterial SSU rRNA". It matches the Rfam family "Archaeal small subunit ribosomal RNA", at positions 325 to 914 of the family's 1478-position model. The record is from RNAcentral.